ACGCUCGACAACCUACGGGAGGUAGCAGUAGGGAAUCUUCCACAAUGGACGCAAGUCUGAUGGAGCAACGCCGCGUGAGUGAAGAAGGUCUUCGGAUCGUAAAACUCUGUUGUUAGAGAAGAACACGAGUGAGAGUAACUGUUCAUUCGAUGACGGUAUCUAACCAGCAAGUCACGGCUAACUACGUGCCAACAGCCGCGGUAAUCUGAGCGGGCUGGCAAGGC
RNAcentral lists this ribosomal RNA (224 nucleotides) under uncultured bacterium. Its description in RNAcentral is "partial 16S ribosomal RNA". It matches the Rfam family "Bacterial small subunit ribosomal RNA", at positions 326 to 539 of the family's 1533-position model. The record is from RNAcentral.